Molecule: long non-coding RNA, 678 nt
Filed under: Salvia miltiorrhiza (redroot sage)
Lineage: Eukaryota; Viridiplantae; Streptophyta; Magnoliopsida; Lamiales; Lamiaceae
Description: long non-coding RNA (SMIL_LNC005838)
Source: RNAcentral
UACUGAUGAUGGUGGUGAGCGUCUGUUCGCAGACCUCGCUUAUCCAGACGCGGACGUGGGGUUGAACGGAGGCCCUUAUCGAUUUCAGAGAAGCAGCAUCGGCGGAAAGAGAGAAAUGGCGCGGCAGCGGAGUGUUAGCUGCGGAUUUCAUAUGAGGAGAAGAGAGAAUCAGCCCUUAAUUGAAUUGGUGUUGGGCCUUCUUUUUGGUGGAGUUUUGGGCUUCGUUGCUGGGCCUUUUCUUUUGUAGAGAGGGGUCCAAACCCUUAUUGGUCCCCAACCCUUUUUUCAUAGUUCAAGUCAUUUUUUGUUCUUUUUUUUAAAUUGUAAACACAAUUUUUUUUUAUAUUUAUUUAUUUAUUUAUUUAUUUAUUUAUUUUUUUUUGCAAGUAAAUUUCAAAUAUGAAUUUUUCUUGCAGUUGGCAAUAGAGAAAGCUUGGUGAUAGCGACCUUCAAGAUUGGCGUAGUCUUAUCAACCAAGUUCAUGGUGGAUUUUGCCCCAAACGAGAUGUUUUGAGUAUUUGCAAAGUUCGGAGUAUUAUGUACAAGAUUGGCGAAUUAAUCAACUUCAUGGAAGAUUUUGCCCCAAACGAGAUGCUUUGAGUAUUUGCAAAGUUCGGAGUCUAUUGUCAUCUUUCUUUCAAUCUUGACAUCUCCUGUCAGCCCGACUAAAGACCAUCC